Molecule: non-coding RNA, 4791 nt
Organism: Myodes glareolus (Bank vole)
Lineage: Eukaryota; Metazoa; Chordata; Mammalia; Rodentia; Cricetidae
Source: RefSeq, a predicted model, not a curated record
CUUUGUUAACUGUGUGAUCUUGGACAACUCACUCAACUCUUCUGGGUUCCAGUCCUCAUCUUUCUGCCCCUUGUUAGUAUCAAGGAAGCCUCUCCCCCCGCUUUUCUUUUGAUUGUGACAUUAGCUGUGUCACUACUGCAAACUCCCACCUCUCCCAGGGCCACUAGUGCUGGAUCUAUAAAGGACGGUUGAACGCUAUUGGAACUGUUCUGUCUUGAGCUCUGGCGAAGCUCACGUGAAAGCAUUUGUUUUCUGUGAAUGACUAGAACCGUCCAGGGAAAGCCAAUUCACAAACCUUCUCUUUACGUCUGACAACUUUGGUUGGGGGAUCAUUGCCGAAGUUCCCCCUUGCUGGCGGCUGGAUCCUGUUGACUCAUUCCUAGGACACUUCAGCAACUGCAGACACACUCAGAGCAGUCACGGCCUCUGCUCUAAGCAGGACAAGCCUCAGUGAACUCGGGUGACCUUGCUGACCCUCGGCCUUCUCACUCAGGCCAUAGGGGAGCCAUGCUGGCUCAGCGGAAGGGUGGGAUAGUGAAUCCUUCAUUUCCUCCCAACUGGUCUUUCCCUUGACAGCUUUAGAUUUCUCUUGUAAGUAGAGGAGGCAGAACUGGUCACAUGAAGAGGAGCUCUCAGUGCUGCAGUGGCGGUGGAGGCAGCAAGGGCAAUCAUGGGGGUGGUGGGAGAAAUUGCAAGAGGCUGGCUGAAGCGUUCUAGAGAGAGGCUAGGAACAGAGACGCCAAAGGGAAACAGAAAACAGAGAAGGCUAUGAAGAACUGAAGAUAGGGGGUCUGUGGGUCCUGGAGUUGAACUUGGUUCAGGGAACUGCCAAGCCCUAAGAGUCAAAGGUCCUGACACCAAGGCCCAGGAGCUAAAACCCUAGUGUCCAGGGUCCCAAGGCCUGAGUUGGAAAGCUGUAAAAAUAGCCACUUGUGAGAGCCAUGGGUGUGGAGCAGUCACUCUUGCUGGUGCUGGCUGCUACUGAGAGCUAAGGAUGCCCCUAGUUGUGUUCAGAGCCCAGGCCAAGUACUCCCAAUUCAGCAGCAGACGCUUUGCCCAUGGUGACAUCUCCCCAGCUCUCAAAUCGUAGAGGAAGGAAAGGAGAGGGCAAGGUUCUUCCGAUGGCAAAUCCUCUGAGUCUGCGCGGGGCUUUGGAGAGGAUGUAUGUACCCUGGGUCCUGAUGUUGACAAAGUACCCAAAGAUGGACAUACUGUACCUCUGCUGUGAAAGUCAGGCAUGUCUGUGGGCACGUCUGGAUGAACAACAGAAGGGGUGGUCUCAAAAGCCUCCCCUCCCCAGCGUGGUGGGCCUCAUCCAACCAGCUCAAGUGCUGGGGGAAACAACAGGGCAGAGGAGGAUGUGACCCUUUGCUGGCUGACUCCUGCAGCUCUACCACCACGGUCUACCUCUUGCCCUGACCCAUUGGCUCUUCCGACUCCAAGGACCUCCAACCUCAGAGAGAGCGACAGCAAAGAGAGGCUGGUGGACAGCGGCAGCCUGUCUUGGACCUCUUGGCCUCCAGAGCGGAGUUGCUGUUUUCCUAUUGUCCACAAGGAGUGGAAUCCAGAAUGGCUCUUAGGCUGCCAACCCCAUGGGUGCUUGAACGCCUUACAUAUAAGGGUACAGUAUUUAUUCGGAACUCAUGUAUUCCCCUUUCCCGUGUGAUUGCUUAAUCUCGUGCCUUAAAGGCUUGGCCAUCAGCCUAGAGUGCAGCGGGGAGGAGAUGGAACCUGGAGGAGAGGGAGCUGAGUACAGAAAGUUGCGUCAUUGAAGGUACACACUUGGUGCCAAGACACUGUCUCAGGGCUGGAGAGAUAGCUCAGUGAUUAAGAGCACUGCCUGCUCUUCCAAAGGUCCUGAGUUCAAUUCCCAGCAACCAUAUGGUGGCUGACAACCAUCUGUAAUGAGAUCUGGCACCCUCUUCUGGCCUACAGACAUACAUUCAGACAGAAUACUGAGAAUACUGGAUACAUAAUAAAUAAAUAAAUCUUUAAAAAAAACCAACACUGUCUCAAACCCUAGCAAAUGGUGGAGGUGCCUACUUAACAUAUUAAAGUGAACCUGGCCACCAGGUUCUCCUAGCAUUCCUCAGUCCCUACCUGUUACAGGGUCUCCCUGACUGGCACACCCUGCCCCCUACCCAAAACGUCUCCAGCCCAGGUAUUGAGCUGCCUGUCCUUACCUUGCUGGCCUCUUGGUCUGGCUCUCCCCUGGCCCCUCCCCCUCUUCUCACAUGGCUCAGCUCAGCCUGGUCAUGUUCACUCUGGACUCUCCCAGAUGCCCCUGCCUCUGACUACACUUGCUCUUUUAUCCACAAUAAACUUUCUCCUCCACCCGUACCUAGGAGCAGUCAUGGCUUUCAUUUUUUAUUUCUUUUUUGGUUUUCAUUCAUCUGGUGCUGAAACCCAGAAUUGGCCAUGUCCUUUCUUCCUUUUUUAUUUCUUUCUAAAAUUUCAUUUAGGAUAUUUGUUUCUCUUUGCUUUCUGGCCACCGCAGGGGAAAAGCCCCCCUCUGUCGCAUGCUCCUGCUGUGACACACUCCGAUUCCCUGGGCAAUAUAAAACUGCUAGCCAAAAUAAGCCUUUUAUUAUCCCAGAUAUUUUGUUAUCGUGAUGAAAUCUGACUGAUACAUAUCAUAUACUUUAAAUUGUCUCUAGAUUACUUUUAAUGUCUGAUACAAUGUGAAUAGUUAUUACAUUGUGUCACCUAGAGAAUAAUAUUCAACAAGAGAAAAAAACGUCUGUACAUAUUCAGUACAGACAUCAUUUGAAAAAUAAUUUUGAGCUAUGCCUGGCCUUAUCGACCACUGUGGAGCCACCAGAUAUAGAGAGCCAGCAGUAGACACUUUCUGUGGGCUGUCCCUUCGGAGAAUUCUCACUGACAUAAAGAAUAUGCUUCUGGGUCUUGCCAGAACAAAAUUUCGCCCAGACAGAAGGAAGUGCAAAUAUGCCUUUUACCCCCCUUCCACCCGCCCAAGGCAUUUUCUACAGGCAGAAUCCAGCUACUCUUGCUCUUCCUGAAUGUUCUUCUUCACUAUGGGAAACUAUUGUUUUUCAGCCUUGCCCCCUACUGUAGGGUGGGGCUUCAUUGUUCUACUGCUAGCUAACUGCCGGAUGAAGGACGAUGUUGGAUUAUCAGGUCUUCAAGCCAAGGUCAGAAACCAACACCACAGUCCUGAGGCAUAUUGGGAGACAGGGAACACAGCAGAUACCCUAGGAGUUGCAGAAGAGCGAAUAAGGUCUUCCUACACCCAUGACUUUCAGGAGCUCUCUUUGACAGGGACUUGAGAGAGCCCGCAGAGACCACCUUCCUGCCUGCUGCCAAGUGCUGGUCUCCUUGCUCCAGCUACUCUGUCAUGUGACCUUCAUCUACGUCCCUUUCAUCUGUAACUAAAUCUCUGAGGUGACGGCCCCACCACUCCUCUCAGGUUCUGUUCAUUAGAAGUGUCACCUGUGCUGGCCCCAGCCAUGGGGAUGCUCACUGCAGAGGUUUUCUGUUAUGCUCCUGCAAUGCAGGUGUGAGAUGGCAGGUAUGUGACGGCAGGUGUGAGAUGGCAGGUGUGAGACAGCAGGUGUGGGGUGGCAGGUGUGUGAUGGCAGGUGUGGGACGGCAGGUGUGAGAUGGCAGGUGUGGGACGGCAGGUGUGGGACUGCAGGUGUGGGACUGCAGGUGUGAGAUGACAGGUGUGUGAUGGCAGGUGUGAGAUGAUAGGUGUGGGAUGGCAGGUAUGGGAGAGGUCCAGAAUCCAAGGUUGGGGAUGUAGCUCAGAAAUAGCAUGCUUGUCUAGCAUGGAUGAGGCCCUAACUACCCUGGAGGACUAUGGGAGGAUGCUGUAAGAAUGACACACAGCCGGGUAUGUGUGAGAGCCAAGCUGACACCUGUCAACCCAGCCAUGGAAAACCACUUUUCAUGACUGUCUCUCCAAGUUCAAAACUCAUCUUUGCAACCUCUGUUUCUUCAUGUUUAGGGGACUCUGCAGAUAAAAUGAUGUUUAUGUCAAGGAGCCUGGAAUAAGAGUCUCUGCUCAAAGGGAGGCAACACAGAACCAUCAGUUUGGACUCGACGCACCGUUAAUAAUCACCACGUGGGUGUGAAAGUCCAUAGGCUAUGGGAGGCUUAGGGAAAAUGGGGCUUUUUGCAUUGAGUCUCAGCCAUUAGCAAAAUACCACAUUGAAAAUUAGUCAGAAAAGGUAAUUAGUGUCAAAGAGCAAUUGCGGUAUCGUUAAGGUGACGGAUGUUGGUGCGGGGUGUGUGCUAAUGAUUUAUGGAAUUUUCUUUUGGGAGACAAUUGGAGCAAUUUGGUGGUCAGCAGACAGUCUGCAAAUCAAUCACUAUGAUAGUCAAUAAUUUAUCAUUUCUAUUUCAAGUAGGGAGUUUGCAUCAGCUUAAACAGAAGGGAGCUCUGAUGAAGGAUGAGAGUUGGCAUCCAACACAAUCCUGAGCCUGUGCUGUGUCUAUUUGUCACAGUCACUAUCUCUCUGAGGACAAUGUGACCUGCAUGAGCAUCCAGCCUGUCAGACUCUGGAAGAAGACUGUUCCUGCCCCCAGGCAAGGAUCUUCUUGGCAUCUUCCCAUUCUCAGUGUUGGCCUAUCAGGGACGCAGUGAGAACACCUCCAUGCCAAGGAAGUCUCAGCAAGAUGCUCAAGCUAGGACAUGAUCUGGACAAUAGAGUUUCCUGCAAGCAGAUCUAUCCUCCUAGCUCCAUGCCGGUACCACACAGUCCAAAUUCAAAGUGUGUCUUUCAUCUCGCUGUGUCUCAUAUCUACAGCGGACUAGGAACUCUUGUGUUU